RNAcentral lists this ribosomal RNA (253 nucleotides) under uncultured bacterium. Its description in RNAcentral is "partial 16S ribosomal RNA". It matches the Rfam family "Bacterial small subunit ribosomal RNA", at positions 524 to 776 of the family's 1533-position model. The record is from RNAcentral.
UACAGAGGUCCCGAGCGUUUGUUCGGAUUCAUUGGGCGUAAAGGGUGCGUAGGCGGCGGGCAAGUCUGAUGUGAAAUCCCGGGGCUCAACCCCGGAACUGCAUUGGAUACUGCCUUGCUAGAGUACUGGAGAGGGAACUGGAAUUUACGGUGUAGCAGUGAAAUGCGUAGAGAUCGUAAGGAAGGCCAGUGGCGAAGGCGAGUUCCUGGACAGUUACUGACGCUGAGGCACGAAGGCCAGGGGAGCAAACGGG